ACCUGGAUAGUUUAAUUUAAAAUACUGAUUUGUGGUGUCAGUAAUGAGGUUUACUACCUCUUUAGGUU
RNAcentral lists this transfer RNA (68 nucleotides) under Parrhinotermes sp. A MW-2019. RNAcentral's name for it is "tRNA-His". The record is from RNAcentral. Lineage: Eukaryota; Metazoa; Arthropoda; Insecta; Blattodea; Rhinotermitidae.